RNAcentral lists this ribosomal RNA (1209 nucleotides) under Cryptocellus sp. n. 1 LRB-2020. Its description in RNAcentral is "partial large subunit ribosomal RNA". It matches the Rfam family "Eukaryotic large subunit ribosomal RNA", at positions 741 to 1897 of the family's 3401-position model. Lineage: Eukaryota; Metazoa; Arthropoda; Arachnida; Ricinulei; Ricinoididae. The record is from RNAcentral.
GCGGGGCCGCCGGCGCAACACCGGCCCGUCCCGUCCGCAGCGUCGGUGGGGCGGAGCGAGAGCGUACACGUUGGGACCCGAAAGAUGGUGAACUAUGCCUGGGCAGGACGAAGCCAGAGGAAACUCUGGUGGAGGUCCGCAGCGAUUCUGACGUGCAAAUCGAUCGUCAGACCUGGGUAUAGGGGCGAAAGACUAAUCGAACCAUCUAGUAGCUGGUUCCCUCCGAAGUUUCCCUCAGGAUAGCUGGCGCUCGAGGGAAGCAGUCUCAUCCGGUAAAGCGAAUGAUUAGAGGCCUUGGGGCCGAAACGACCUCAACCUAUUCUCAAACUUUCAAUGGGUGAGAAGUCCGGCUUGCUCGACUGAAGCCCGGACGUCCCAGGAUGCGAGUGCCCAGUGGGCCACUUUUGGUAAGCAGAACUGGCGCUGUGGGAUGAACCAAACGCUGGGUUAAGGCGCCCGAUGCAAGACGCUCAUCAGAUCCCAUGAAAGGUGUUGGUUGCUAUAGACAGCAGGACGGUGGCCAUGGAAGUCGGAAUCCGCUAAGGAGUGUGUAACAACUCACCUGCCGAAGCAACUAGCCCUGAAAAUGGAUGGCGCUGUAGCGUCGAGCCCAUACCCGGCCGCCCCGGCUGGGCGCGGAAGCUUAUGCCGGGGUGAGUAGGAGGCGUCGCAGCGGCGUGCGUUGAAGGUGCCGGGCGCGGGCCCGCCUGGAGCCGCCGCUGGUGCAGAUCUUGGUGGUAGUAGCAAAUACUCAAGUGAGAACCUUGAGGACUGAGGUGGAGAAGGGUUCCAUGUGAACAGCAGUUGAACAUGGGUCAGUCGGUCCUAAGGGAUAGGAGAAAUCCGUUCCGAAGCGGGACCUGCGUGCACCGUUAGGUCCCGUGGUCGACCGAAAGGGAAUCGGGUUAAUAUUCCCGAACCCGGAUGCGGAGAUCGGCCCUUCGGGGUCAACUGCGGUAACGCAACCAAACUCGGAGACGUCGAUCGGGGUCCCGGGAAGAGUUGUCUUUUCUUUGUAAGGGAUCGGCUCCCUGGAAUCGGCUCGCCCGGAGAUAGGGAUGCUGUUCCCGUAAAGCACCGCGGCUCUUGCGGUGUCCGGAGCGCUCCGGUCGGCCCUUGAAAAUCCGAGGGAGAGUGUGAUUUUCGUGCCGGACCGUACCCAUAUCCGCAGCAGGUCUCCAAGGUGAACAGCCUCUAGUCGAUGGAACA